Molecule: long non-coding RNA, 461 nt
Organism: Gossypium arboreum
Lineage: Eukaryota; Viridiplantae; Streptophyta; Magnoliopsida; Malvales; Malvaceae
Exons: 3
Source: RefSeq, a predicted model, not a curated record
UUCUGAUUAGAUUUAUUCCACUCGUUGCAGAUUUCAGGAUUAUUCCACAUCUCUCUCAUGUCUUCGGGGGAAACUCUGGAGUCCCAAUACAGGCAGGCAUCAUCUGCAGCUCUCCGAUAAAGAAAAACAGGUUGUUGCCACAUUGCUUCCAAAUCCUCAGGAUCAACACAGUCAUCCCAAUAUUUGAAGCCGACCAUCGUGGCAGGACUGCUCAACAGCAUUGGAUUCGAUUACUCCAAUAUUGAUAGAAACAUCACACGGAGAACACAAAGAUGGAUGCAUCAAAGUAAAAACACUAAGGAGCAGUCUACCAUUAGGAGAAACGAAAGCAAAAGCAAAGUGUACGAGGCAAUUAGCGAUUGGAAUUACCUAAGCGCUGAAAAAAGAACAUUUUGUAUGAAUUUUGAACAAGACAAAGGAUCAAAGAACCACUCAAUGAAAUAUUCUUUAUCCAGACAAAA